Molecule: long non-coding RNA, 1585 nt
Filed under: Monodelphis domestica (gray short-tailed opossum)
Lineage: Eukaryota; Metazoa; Chordata; Mammalia; Didelphimorphia; Didelphidae
Description: lncRNA (ENSMODG00000035408.2)
Source: RNAcentral
CCAUUUAACUUCAUACAAAUUUAAUUAAUCUACUGUUUACCCUUUCUUCUACAUCAUUAGUAAAAAUAAUAAAAGAAAUUGCUCAGGAGGAAGAGGCCAGCCACAUUCCUCUCCCUACCCCUGCAGCCAGUGGUCUCCAAAGAGAGCCCCGGGAGGAAAGCUCCAGGCCUGGUGAUCCCACCCACUCUCUCCCAACCUAAUGUGACUCUAGUGAAACCCAAGCCAGAAAGGAUUUCCCUCACCAGGUUCCAAUUUAAUAUCUUUAAUAUCCACUUAGUGUCGGGGCACCUGGUUGCUAUGGAGAUCGUUGUCAUAAAAAACUCACAGGACUGUUAGAGAGAUGGGAAACAGCUCCCUGCAGUCCGGAACUGCCCACAUUUGCUCAGAGAAAUAUCUUGCUACUUAUCACAGCUCUUUGUUUACUGGACCUAUAGGCUUCAGAUUCAAUCUGCUGGGCUCUACUCAUAAGCAGGCAAAUAGAAAUUUAUUUCCAGUUACUCUUCUGCGAUCACGCAGCCAAAAGCUUCACCAAAUGUCAGAUGGCCACAGUCUUCCCUUUCUCUCCUACCAAAGUCGGCCAAGGACAAAAUGACCGUCCUUGCUGACCGAGAUGUGUUCUUUACUGACCAUCAUUGAUCCCCACCGCUCGGAAAAUGGGAUAAAAAUACUCCCUGGCCUCCAAUACUGUCUCCAACAAGGGAUAGGGCUACAAGACACUGGGAGCAAGAAGGAGGAUGAAAGACAGGUACACAGUGGAGACUCCAUUAGAGACGCCAUAUCUGCCUCUUCUGAAAUGACUGCCAGAGGCCCUCUCAGCCAGAGGGGUGAAGCAGCUGACAGGAAAUUCGUAUCCCUUUCUGCAACCCUGCAAAAGGCUUACAAACAACUUUUUUUUUUCUUUUGUAUUUUCCCACUAAAGAUUAAAAUUGGGCCUCUGGAAAAGUCUUCUCUCCUUUAUUGGAAAGAUCAAAACUAUCAUUUCCUCACUUUCCAAAUGAAAGUUAUAUUUGGUUUCCUUCCUUAGGCUGGAAGAUGUCCUAGAAGAAUACAGAAAAUGAACCUUCCUUUGCCACUGAGUUGGUAUUUGAGCUUAACAAUUCUGAGGUCUCUUCCAGUUUCCAGUGACUCAGUUUUCUUUUAAUUCAGAUAAAAACUAUGACACCUUCUCUAUCUGGGAAGGAUUUUGAACACCUUCAAAGUCAUCCCCAAAGGUACAAGAUAUAAAAAUGACCAGCUCUUUAGUGCCCUCUUUAUUCUUGAUAGCUUUUCCCAGAAAUAAUUGAAUGUAGACCUACAAGUUCAUUAGCUAAUUCCUUUAAAGGCUUUGGGAUAGGUGCUAUUUAGGCCCAAUUUCAAUCGCCACAAUUACAGAAUCUUUACUAUUUCCCAAUUGUUCAUGCCCCUUAUCUACAUUUUUCUUGUUAAUGAUCAAUUUUUAAAAGCCACUAAAAAGGCUCAGUCAUUUUAGAGUUAUCUUAGCUUUUUGCUUCCGGUCUUAUUUAUUAAUGGAUCUACUUUCUUUCUCCUCUUGAAAAAAACUCCCAGCAUGUUUAUAAAAACACUCCCCACUUCCCUUGGUUCAUUU